This is a non-coding RNA of Streptomyces violaceusniger Tu 4113, 75 nucleotides long. The record is from Rfam. NCBI's taxonomy places the organism in Bacteria, Bacillati, Actinomycetota, Actinomycetes, Kitasatosporales, Streptomycetaceae.
CUUGAUGGCGCCCAGCAUCAUCGGCUGGCCCUCGGGACGCUCCUGACCGUAGGUGGCCAGCAGCGCCUGCGCCUC